UAAUACGUAGGUGGCAAGCGUUGUCCGGAUUUAUUGGGUUUAAAGGGUGCGUAGGCGGUUCUCUAAGUCAGUUGUGAAAUACGGCAGCUUAACUGUCGAGGUGCAAUUGAUACUGGAGAACUUGAGUACUGAUGAGGUAGGCGGAAUGGACGGUGUAGCGGUGAAAUGCUUAGAUAUCGUCCAGAACACCGAUAGCGAAGGCAGCUUACUAAGGAGUAACUGACGCUGAGGCACGAAAGUGUGGGGAUCAAACAGG
This 256-nucleotide ribosomal RNA is filed under the name uncultured bacterium. RNAcentral's name for it is "partial 16S ribosomal RNA". It matches the Rfam family "Bacterial small subunit ribosomal RNA", at positions 521 to 776 of the family's 1533-position model. The record is from RNAcentral.